UCGAGAAUAAUUCACAAUGGGGGAAACCCUGAUGGUGCAACGCCGCGUGGAGGAUGAAGGUCUUCGGAUUGUAAACUCCUGUCAUCUGGGAGUAAGACCUGACGGUAAAUAGCCGGCAGGGUUGAUAGUACCAGAAGAGGAAGGGACGGCUAACUUCGUGCCAGCAGCCGCGGUAAUACGAAGGUCCCAAGCGUUGUUCGGAAUCACUGGGCGUAAAGGGAGCGUAGGCGGCGUGGUAAGUCAGAUGUGAAAUCCCGGGGCUCAACCCCGGAACUGCAUCCGAUACUGCCAUGCUUGAGGGUUGGAGAGGUAGCUGGAAUUCUCGGUGUAGCAGUGAAAUGCGUGGAUAUCGAGAGGAACACUCGUGGCGAAGGCGAGCUACUGGACAACAUCUGACGCUGAGGCUCGAAGGCUAGGGGAGCAAAAG
RNAcentral lists this ribosomal RNA (427 nucleotides) under uncultured Luteolibacter sp. RNAcentral's name for it is "bacterial SSU rRNA". It matches the Rfam family "Bacterial small subunit ribosomal RNA", at positions 355 to 774 of the family's 1533-position model. The record is from RNAcentral. Lineage: Bacteria; Pseudomonadati; Verrucomicrobiota; Verrucomicrobiia; Verrucomicrobiales; Verrucomicrobiaceae.